GACGAACGCUGGCGGCGUGCUUAACACAUGCAGGUCGAACGGAAAGGCCCUGCUUUUGUGGGGUGCUCGAGUGGCGAACGGGUGAGUAACACGUGAGUAACCUGCCCUUGACUUUGGGAUAACUUCAGGAAACUGGGGCUAAUACCGGAUAGGAGCUCCUGCUGCAUGGUGGGGGUUGGAAAGUUUCGGCGGUUGGGGAUGGACUCGCGGCUUAUCAGCUUGUUGGUGGGGUAGUGGCUUACCAAGGCUUUGACGGGUAGCCGGCCUGAGAGGGUGACCGGCCACAUUGGGACUGAGAUACGGCCCAGACUCCUACGGGAGGCAGCAGGGGGGAAUAUUGCACAAUGGGCGGAAGCCUGAUGCAGCAACGCCGCGUGCGGGAUGACGGCCUUCGGGUUGUAAACCGCUUUCGCCUGUGACGAAGCGUGAGUGACGGUAAUAAGUAAAGAAGCACCGGCUAACUACGUG
RNAcentral lists this ribosomal RNA (468 nucleotides) under uncultured bacterium. RNAcentral describes it as "partial 16S ribosomal RNA". It matches the Rfam family "Bacterial small subunit ribosomal RNA", at positions 28 to 507 of the family's 1533-position model. The record is from RNAcentral.